This is a non-coding RNA of Petromyzon marinus (sea lamprey), 2359 nucleotides long. Lineage: Eukaryota; Metazoa; Chordata; Hyperoartia; Petromyzontiformes; Petromyzontidae. The record is from RefSeq and is a predicted model, not a curated record.
CGUCUGGACAUGGCACGUGCCUUGUUCUUUGUCCGUCAAAGGAGUUCAUUCAUGAGGAGUAUUCGCUGAGCCACCGAUGACACUAACCUACAUCAAGUUAUGGUUAAACAAAGUAAUCUACAGUCGCUUAAUUAUCAGCUCAGACAUCAUCAUCGCAAUCAUUUCCAACGAUGUGUGGGGUCCCGAGAGAGCAAGGCCCGGCCACAAACAGCCGGGUAGCGGAAGCAGCAGAAUCAGAAGUAGCUGCGUCGCAUUUGAUCAACUGUGACAUUGUAAACUCUCAACUGUUAAACUCUAACAAGGUGAAAUAUAAUAUUAUAACCUAUUAACUAAAACCUAUCCAUUGUAACGCUGUAAAAUACGAUUAACUGUUAUAGUGUAUAACCACGUAAAUUGAGGUAUGGGAUAAUAAUGGUAUUGGAAUCAUUAGAAUCGCACUGUGCUCGUAUUAGAAUCACACUGUGGUCGUACGUAUGGAAAGUGAAUAUGCGAACCGGGGAAGGAUAUGCAGGAUAAGAAUCGAAUUACAAUAUUAAAAUCCCACUAGUCGUAUUAGAAUCACACUGUCCACUGUUGGAUGAUUGUGUCGUAUCAAUGGAAUCGAAUAUCUAUAUACACUAUAUAUACACAUACAAAGAUUAUAACAAUCACACAUUGUAACAUAUGUACAAUACACAUGAUUUAAAAACGUAUUUAAAAUGUUUUAUUUUUUUACUUUUACUGAGAGUCGUUGUCCAUGUAGGGAGAUGGAGCGCAGUGGAUCGUAUCGUCUCCGCUAUGUUUCGGAAUCCGUGUGAUCACCCAGUCACAUCGCCUAACUCCAGUCACAGCGCCUUACCCAAACUACAUCUCCCCAACAAGGCAGCCUUCCCGCUUCUGUGUAUUGUGUUUAUGGGAUAACAGAGGUGUCUAUUAUCCCAUACGCCUUGACUAAAACGACUGAUUGCCCGCUUAACACCCUAGCUCAUAAACCACUAUUGGUGACAGUGUUGUUUGAGAGCAGCUAUUAAAGUGGCUGCGGCAAAUGAGGUGGUGGCUGGCCGAACCGUGCCUCGCUGUUUGUCUCCGGAGUGAUGACGGAUACAAACCAGACCAAGCGGAGGCCAUGUACCAGAUCGGGUUUUGGUUACUGAUGUUAGAGUGAUUGUGUUGCAAGUGUGGUCACUACGCGUCUGAACGUGCUCAAGCCCCGAAGCUCGGCGGUUGUGGGCAACGCCACGUGACUGCAUUCACUUUAAUUCGAGGACAAUGGAGGGCAUGGGGAAAGUGUUUUUACAGCGCUAAUCCAAUUUAUUCAAAAUAAGCGCGCAAUUACACAAUGAGAUGCACUUACAUAUUCAGGCAUGAAACACAAUAGGCACAUUACGAUUCGGUAUGUUAAUAGACAUACGGAUUGUACCUUCCAAAAUUAACAAUCGAAUGCAAAUAUCCUGAAAGACAAAGGAUUGGAUCCUAGGAGGGGAGUUAUAAGGCGGCUCAGAACAGAGCUCAAGGCCAUUUCGAGAGGGAACUUGAUGAGGCUGGACGCUCGACUCGUCGCUCUGCUGAUCGCCCUUCUAACGCGAGACAACGCAGCCUGGUGAACACAAUUGCUGUGUCGACAGUUAGGCGACUUUGCUUCGUAUGGUGAGUGAAUAUGCGAGUUCGUGGGGACAUCUUCAGACGGGUUACAGACAUCGAUUCACCGUGAAUCUCCAAAGUUCCGGGAUCGAUACCCACGACCUCCUGCGUUCCAGGCGAGGUAGUCAACAUCGUCCAAUAACCCCCUGAGGCUCCGCCCCCCUCAUCCUGGCCUCGCCCCCUUUCUUUCGCCACGCCCAUCGCAACGACCCCCUCAGCUUGACGAUGGGGGGAGUAGACAAGGACCAUCAGCCAAUCGCGUCGCUUGGAUCCGCUGGGGGGCGUGGCGGUCCUUCCUAUGAGGAGGGGCUCAGGGCCGGUAUCUCCAUCCUGUGUCUGCUCCUCGCCCUCUCGCUGGGGCUUCUCUUGUGCUGCUUCUUGAGGACGAGGAAGAGAUGGUGGAGGAGGUGGUGGCGGGUGGAUACUCUGAGCUGAUGGAGCAGCACCAGCUGAUGGCAGGCGACCCUCCUGGCGGCCAAUUGGAGACGGGGGGGCGUGGCCUCGUGCCCACGGCCCCCGCCCACAAGGGGCGUGGCUUCGAAGCGACCAAUGAGAUUUCACCUCCUCCAUACGAGAAGACAGCUCCACUGGAUUCACCACCGCCAUAUCCAGCUCACAACACAGAUUCACCACCUGUGGUGCCACAACUGCGGAGCAGCUCCACAGGCACGGCGACUCCCUCCCGGCCCCCCGCACUAAACACGCCACCCACACGCAGCGCACCCACGUAGUGUCCUGG